Mirounga angustirostris (Northern elephant seal) is the source of this 942-nucleotide long non-coding RNA. RefSeq lists it as uncharacterized. The transcript has 3 exons. NCBI's taxonomy places the organism in Eukaryota, Metazoa, Chordata, Mammalia, Carnivora, Phocidae. The record is from RefSeq and is a predicted model, not a curated record.
AUGUAGCUUUUUUUCUAAUAGGGUGAACCCCAGUACUAUUCAUAAGAGACCUACAAAGUUUUAUUUUUUUGUUUUUUUAAAAGAUUUAUUUAUUUUAGAGAGAGAGAAGCAGACUCCCCUCUGAGCACUGCGCCUGAUGCGGGGCUCGAUCCCAUGACCCUGAGAUCAUGACCUGAGCUGAAACCAAGAGUUGGAUGCUUAACUGUGUCACCCAGACACCCCUAAGAGACCUGCAAAGUUUUAAGAGAAGUGUACUUGCAGAAACACUGCCUGCUUGGACUAAAAGGGACAGAGACAGUACAACGUAAAAGACGCAUCUGGACUUCCAAAGUACUACUUGUAGGAAGUAGGCUGAUGAAACUACUUAGCUGCAAACAUAAGCAGUUUUUUUAUGGAAAAUGAUGAUGAAGGGGGUUGAACCAUGAGCUCAGAGGGUAGAGUUAAGAUAUAUAGACAUGCUGUGCUGCAUCAAGGGACUAUCAGUAUAUGCCUGACUGGAUUUCAGAAUUGUUACUGGCUGGUAACUCUUGUUACCUCUAUUUCACCCCUUUUCAAUAGAAAAGUCUAUAAAAAUUACCUUAUGCCUCUUAUACCAUUGUAUUUUGAUGUGCAGAGGAUAUAUAACUUAUCUCUGUAGUUUCCCAGGUCUUCAGAUUGAGAAUAGUUAUACUUGGGGAGCUGUGCUUGAUAAAUAGUAUCUGGAGAGUGUCAUACACACUUGGAUGAGAUUCUGGACUUUGAACUUAUGUCUGGUGCCAUAACAGGACACAUACCUCUACUGCCCUGAACUGCUAUUUAAGAAGUCUGGCUGCUACUAAACCUCCAUGCUGGAGAGACCAUGUGGAAAGACCAUAUAGAGUACAGCUGCCUUGGAGCUCUGGGACUUGCUCGUGGUGAACACCUCUGACAAGACUUCAGUGUCUUCUGGUCACUUGCCCAGUU